AACGAACGCUGGCGGCAGGCCUAACACAUGCAAGUCGAGCGAGCAUUUCGGUGCUAGCGGCGGACGGGUGAGUAACGCGUGGGAACGUGCCCUUUUCUGCGGAAUAGUCCUGGGAAACUGGGGGUAAUACCGCAUACGCUCUUUUGGGGAAAGAUUUAUCGGAGAAGGAUCGGCCCGCGUUGGAUUAGGUAGUUGGUGGGGUAAUGGCCUACCAAGCCGACGAUCCAUAGCUGGUUUGAGAGGAUGAUCAGCCACACUGGGACUGAGACACGGCCCAGACUCCUACGGGAGGCAGCAGUGGGGAAUCUUAGACAAUGAAGGCAACCCUGAUCUAGCCAUGCCGCGUGAGUGAUGAAGGCCUUAGGGUUGUAAAGCUCUUUCAGCAGGGAAGAUAAUGACGGUACCAGCAGAAGAAGCCCCGGCUAACUCCGUG
RNAcentral lists this ribosomal RNA (433 nucleotides) under uncultured bacterium. RNAcentral's name for it is "partial 16S ribosomal RNA". It matches the Rfam family "Bacterial small subunit ribosomal RNA", at positions 29 to 507 of the family's 1533-position model. The record is from RNAcentral.